This 228-nucleotide long non-coding RNA is filed under the name Phoenix dactylifera (date palm). RNAcentral's name for it is "long non-coding RNA (PDAC_LNC004467)". The record is from RNAcentral. Lineage: Eukaryota; Viridiplantae; Streptophyta; Magnoliopsida; Arecales; Arecaceae.
UGUUAUAGUCCCAUAUCGGCUAAUAAAGGAGUGCCACAUGGGUUUAUAAGCCUAGGCCUUGUCCUCAAGCCAACAGCUUAAACAUUUUAGAAUAUAAGUAUGUGACAAGUGGUAUCAAAUAUAGCUGAAAAUAAGCCGAGUCUCGGGCCUAAACUAUAUUCAUUUUUAAUUAGGUUUCGGAACAAGACUAUUUAAAACAAGGUUCAUUGUCUCGGUACCGGAAUCCGU